RNAcentral lists this ribosomal RNA (497 nucleotides) under uncultured bacterium. Its description in RNAcentral is "bacterial SSU rRNA". It matches the Rfam family "Bacterial small subunit ribosomal RNA", at positions 432 to 920 of the family's 1533-position model. The record is from RNAcentral.
CGUGUGGGGGGAGGAAGAAGAAGUACGGUGAAGAGCCGACCCUGACGGUAUCCCCUUAGCAAGCACCGGCUAACUCCGUGCCAGCAGCCGCGGUAAUACGGAGGGUGCAAACGUUGCUCGGAAUCAUUGGGCGUAAAGCGCGCGUAGGCGGCUGAACAAAGUUGGGAUGUGAAAGCCCUGGGGCUCAACCUAGGAUGUGCAUUCAAAACUGUUCGGCUUGAGUCUCGGAGGGGGUCAGAGAAUUCUCGGUGUAGAGGUGAAAUUCGUAGAUAUCGGGAGGAACACCAGUGGCGAAGGCGCUGACCUGGACGAUGACUGACGCUGAGGCGCGAAAGCGUGGGGAGCAAACAGGAUUAGAUACCCUGGUAGUCCACGCCGUAAACGAUGAGUGCUAGACGCUGGCGGAUUGACCCCGUCGGUGUCGAAGCUAACGCGUUAAGCACUCCGCCUGGGGAGUACGGUCGCAAGACUAAAAACUCAAAGGAAUUGACGGGGGG